Molecule: long non-coding RNA, 1121 nt
Filed under: Anser cygnoides (Swan goose)
Lineage: Eukaryota; Metazoa; Chordata; Aves; Anseriformes; Anatidae
Description: lncRNA (ENSACDG00005011374.1)
Source: RNAcentral
UGGACUCAAGCUGGUAUGGUUCAUACAAGCCAACAUCAUUAUGCAACAGCUGCAGUCAAUGUCGAGAGAAUACUGCUGCCCUGGCAGCUAGUAAGACAAAAUGAGGGAGAAGAUGAUGAAAUCAGGUAACACCUGUGGAUGAACUUUUCUUGGAACAGCUUCAUUAUGACUAUUUUUGUCUUGCAAGACUACCACUAGUGCAAUUAGCAAAUUAGUGUAGGCAACUCAGCCUGCAAUUCCAAUAGCAGCAUUUUAGCAAGCAGUUGUCUUGGUUCUCAGCAGCUAUCAGAAGCCCAACAGUAUGGUACUGGCAGGAUUUUGAGUGAAGAAGGACACACUGACAGCAUUCAAACUCGGAAGGAAAGAGUCCCCAUGAGGUGGGGAACUGAAGAAGGAAUGGACAUUUCAGCAACUGAAGCAAUCAAGGGAGGAAAAGGUAAAGUUACUGAGAAAUGUGUCUGGGAAACUACAGUGAUAUAAGGGGGUUUUCUGGCUUUUUGAAAUAGUUAAUAGAUUUAAAAGACUGCUAUGAGCAAAGCCCCGGUAAUGCAAUUGGUACUGAAAUCCUAAUGUCACAACUGGAGAAAUACAUGGAUGUUUAUAUACUAAGAAAAUAUAUAGCAUUAUGUAAAAUAUGAAUCAAUAUACAAAAGACACUUGAAUUAACCCUGAACUGGCUAUUUUCUUGCAUAUUUAAAACAUCUGGUAUAGAACAAUGCCAUACUCUGCAAUUUGUGUAUCUUAAAAUGUGGACUGUUUUUCACAUUUCGGUUUAAUAUCUUUCCAGUAAUUCAGUUCAUUCUGGAAAGGGGAUGGUUGUGUUUUUUUGUUUUGUUUUUCCUUUUUAUACAAAUGGUAAAAUUACAUGUAUAGACUUAGAUAGUAGGUAAAAUAUUGACAAAAUGUAGUAAAAGUAAACUCAUUUAGGAUCUUUCUUUUUCUUAGUCUUUCAUGUUUAAAUAGAUAUUUCAGUACUAAUGUGUUAACUGAUUUCAUGCAUUACUUUAUUUUACUAGACAGGAUAUAUGUAACAUAGUAAUAAUAACCAUGAAAGAAAAAUAACAUCUUUGUUAUUAACUAAAUUGAGGCCUCCAUGAUUCAGUAUUAACUAUUGCUUCCAG